CCGGUCAGUUGCCGCUACAAACGUGCAGAAUUAGCAGGCUUUUGAGAGGGCCAGGACCAUACGUCGCGUUCUGCGCCUAGGCCGCCUAGAAUCACAACUGUUUUCUCUCUCGUUCAUCAUCCCUCGACACGCGAAGAAAACAAAAGGAAUGCCUCUAAAAGGGUUGAGCGCCCUUAAGGGCAACACACAAACUAUCCUCAUCUCUCCUGUGCGCGACAAAUACUCUAUUCUGAUGGAGGAUGAUAAAAUACGCGCCGGUGCGAGUAGCAUGCAGGGGUGGCGAAGUACGAUGGAGGACGCUCACGCUGUCUACCUCUCACUUCCCAACAUGCCAGGAAACAUUCGCGACGAGGACUGCGCGAUCGCCGCGGUCUUCGAUGGCCACUGUGGUAGCAAGUUUGCGCAGUCGUGCGCCGCAAACAUCCGCGACUGGCUGACGUCAACCGAUGCGUUCAAGAAGGGGAACUUCGAGAAGGCGCUGAAGGACGCCUACUGCACAGGCGACGUUGCUCUUCACAAAGCCAUGCCAAACGAACUGAGCGGCUGCACGGGCAACUGUGUUUUGAUAAUCCAAAAUCAUUUGUACUGCGCCAACACCGGCGAUUCACGGGCGGUGCUGUGCCGAAAUGGCGAGGCCAUAGCGCUCAGCGAGGACCACAAGCCCACCAACCCUGCCGAGCGAGAGCGCAUCAUGAAGGCAGGAGGGUUUGUGCAGGCUGGACGAGUUAACGGUAUCCUGUCUCUCAGCCGGGCCUUCGGCGACUAUGCGUUCAAAGACAUGAGUCUCAAGCCAGAGCAGAUGGCCAUCACGGUGACCCCAGACGUGUUCCACACCGAGCUGACUCCGCACGAUGAGUUUGUCAUUGUCGCGUGCGAUGGCAUCUGGGACAUGAUGACAAAUGAAAAGGCGGUCGAGUUUGUGCGCAACGAAGUUGCCGACCAUGGCGACAUAUCUUUAGCUUGUGAGCGGCUCAUGAACGCGUGUCUCGCGUCCACACCCACCUCCUACGGCACCGAUAACAUGACUAUAAUCAUUCUCCAGUUCAAGAGCUUGUUCUUGAAGAAAGUGGAGAGUAAGUUCUCUGCGGAGUGAUCUGCAAGAGCACGCACGUACACACCCUAUGGCGGACACAUGCAAGAGAGAAACCAAAGCAAAGGGGAUGCCAAUUGAUAGAGCUGGUACCGCUCAUUAUGCCAUAGUUCAGCACCAUCGAAAGUGCGCGGUGGAGACUGCGCUGUUCUCCCUUUCUUUCUCUCGUUCCCCCUCUCUUGCUCACCUUGUUGCGGUCGUGGUUUUUUCUUUGUUUCGGCAGCGUUUGUUGCUGCACCACACGCUUCUCAUGACGUUCUUGCUUGUUUUCUAUCGAGGAUAC
This 1373-nucleotide unclassified non-coding RNA is filed under the name Leishmania donovani. RNAcentral's name for it is "gene:LdHU3.27.3400(CDS-product:protein_phosphatas e-like_protein)". Lineage: Eukaryota; Euglenozoa; Kinetoplastea; Trypanosomatida; Trypanosomatidae. The record is from RNAcentral.